This 73-nucleotide transfer RNA is filed under the name Zootermopsis nevadensis. It matches the Rfam family "tRNA". From Rfam's summary of the family: Transfer RNA (tRNA) molecules are approximately 80 nucleotides in length. Their secondary structure includes four short double-helical elements and three loops (D, anti-codon, and T loops). Further hydrogen bonds mediate the characteristic L-shaped molecular structure. tRNAs have two regions of fundamental functional importance: the anti-codon, which is responsible for specific mRNA codon recognition, and the 3' end, to which the tRNAs corresponding amino acid is attached (by aminoacyl-tRNA synthetases). tRNAs cope with the degeneracy of the genetic code in two manners: having more than one tRNA (with a specific anti-codon) for a particular amino acid; and 'wobble' base-pairing, i.e. permitting non-standard base-pairing at the 3rd anti-codon position. The record is from Rfam by way of RNAcentral. Lineage: Eukaryota; Metazoa; Arthropoda; Insecta; Blattodea; Termopsidae.
GCCACGGUGGUCUAGCGGAUAGAACACUGGCCUUGUAAUCCUGGAGUCUCGGGUUCGAUUCCCGGCGGUGCCC